ACGUGAAAAGAUCAUAUUAAUACAUAUAAUUAUAUAUUGAAAGCUAGCUUUUGAAUUAAAACCAUGUGAAUUGAAUCUUCGGAUAUAUAAUAGUAACGUCAAUAAAUUUUGGUUUAGGUUUUCAAAUACACAUUUGCAUUGAAACUUGAAGCAGUUUUAUUUUAAGGACGCUACUGAUUUUCACAUACGUAUUUGCAUAGAAUCUUGAAGUUUAUUUUUAAGAAGGCUUCUAACAAGUUUAAAGUUAUCAAGAAUUUUGUUUCAUAUAAUUCUGCUAUUAGAGAAACAUAAUAAGUUUUAAAUUCUGGAAAGAUAUUUGCAUUUUUGAGCAUACGGCAUUUUCCGGGACCGCUAAACUUUUUAUAAGAUUAAAACGAUUUAAAUUGUAUCUUCAGCUAUAAUGCAUUAAUUUUGGUUUGAAUGUCCACACACAUCAAUGCAUUAAUGGUUGAAAUAAUAAUUCUAUUUUAAAAAGGGCUUUUGGUUUUCACACCCACAUUUGCGUUGAGACUACUGCGAGAGAGAAGUAGGUUUAUUUUUAAGAAGGCUUCUGAAGGCUUCUGGUAAGUCUACAUUUCACGAGAAUUUUGUCUCAUAUAAUCCUGCUAUUAGAGCAACAUAAUAAGUUUUAAAUUCUGUAAAGCUAUUUGCAUUUUUGAGUAUAUGGCAUUUUCUAGGACAGCAUAAAUUUAUGUAAGGUAUUGCUUUUUCGUAUUAUUUCCAUUAAAAUUUUAAUUUCUAGUUAUAUUUUACUUUAAAAUAUCAUAUUUACAUUAUAAUUAAGUGUUGAAAAUGGAUUUGUAGAUUAAAACAAUUUAAAUUGAAUAUUCGGGUAUAAUGCAUUAAUUUUUGUUUGGAUGUCCACACACAUCAAUGCAUUAAUGGUCGAAAUAAUUCUAUUUUAAGAAGAGCUUCUGUUUUAAUUGCUACUUUAAAAGAUCAUAUUCACAUUAUAAUUACAUGUUGCGAUCUGAUAUUUGGAUUAAAGGUUUUCACAUACACUUUGCAUUGAAACUUAAAGUAGUUUUAUUUUAAGAAAGUUACUGGUAAGUCUACAUUUAUCAAGGAUCUUAUUUCAAAUAAUUCUGCUAUUAGAAUGAGUAUUAUGUAUUUAGAU
Molecule: non-coding RNA, 1117 nt
Organism: Nylanderia fulva
Lineage: Eukaryota; Metazoa; Arthropoda; Insecta; Hymenoptera; Formicidae
Source: RefSeq, a predicted model, not a curated record